CCUACGGGCGGCAGCAGUGAGGAAUAUUGGUCAAUGGGCGCGAGCCUGAACCAGCCAAGCCGCGUGAGCGAAUACAGUCCUAUGGAUUGUAAACCUCUUUUGUCGGGGAGCAAAAGACGCCACGCGUGGCGUUCCGUGUGUACCUGCAGAAAUAGCAUCGGCUAACUCCGUGCCAGCAGCCGCGGUAAUACGGAGGAUGCGAGCGUUAUCGGGAUUUAUUGGGUUUAAAGGGUGCGCAGGCGGAGGGUCAAGUAAGAGGUAAAAUUGAGGGGCUCAACCUCUUUGAGCAGUUGAAACUGGUUUUCUUGAGUGAGUGAGAGGUAUGCGGAAUGCGUGGUGUAGCGGUGAAAUGCAUAGAUAUCACGAAGAACACCGGUGGUGAAGGCGGCAUACCGGCGCGCAACUGACGCUGAUGCGCGAAAGUGUGGGUAUCGAACAGGAUUAGAUACCCUUGUAGUC
Molecule: ribosomal RNA, 459 nt
Filed under: uncultured bacterium
Lineage: Bacteria
Description: partial 16S ribosomal RNA
Rfam family: Bacterial small subunit ribosomal RNA
Source: RNAcentral